Non-coding RNA from Marchantia polymorpha subsp. ruderalis, 77 nucleotides. NCBI's taxonomy places the organism in Eukaryota, Viridiplantae, Streptophyta, Marchantiopsida, Marchantiales, Marchantiaceae. The record is from the annotation of a GenBank genome assembly.
UCUCUGAACACCGACAUGUAGGUGUUAAGAGAAGCCAUAUUUUCACUCCGUACACCGACAUGUCGGUGUUAAGAGUA